UUGUAGAGCCAAGUAUUUCACCUGACAGAGCAGUACAACUUGCAGAAUGGCUUAAAAAUAAUAUGUGGCCAGCUAACCAAGUUGCAGAUUACAUGAAAGAAACAGCCAUCCACAGGGCUCAGUGGAUAAGAGCUAACGGGACAAAAUCUAUCGAGGAAAUAACUUGUGAAUUCCCUCGACUCCUUGAUACGCCAGGCAUGAUUUCACAAGACUUCUCUGUAUUAUUCCCCGACCACGCAGAGAGACUUUUCCAAACUUGGAAAAUGAGUUUCAAAGACAAAAUCCUUUGCUUUGCCAGCCAGGAGAAAAAGGCGCAGGAGCUUCUCCAGAAUUUAGACAGUUUGUCUCCAGAAGUCCAAAGUGACGUUGCACUCAGGCUGCUUCCUGUAAUACUGCCCACCCCUGUCUACAAAAAAGGGAUGAAAAUGUUCAAACCAAGCUUGGAAGAAAAUAUCAAGUCUUUCAUUGAAUUCAAGCAUGUAAGUAAUUUUGUAUUGCACACAUCACGUGCAAACCAUACUAAGAGCAAAUUAAAAUGG
Molecule: long non-coding RNA, 539 nt
Organism: Carassius gibelio (silver crucian carp)
Lineage: Eukaryota; Metazoa; Chordata; Actinopteri; Cypriniformes; Cyprinidae
Exons: 3
Source: RefSeq, a predicted model, not a curated record